RNAcentral lists this ribosomal RNA (206 nucleotides) under uncultured bacterium. Its description in RNAcentral is "partial 16S ribosomal RNA". It matches the Rfam family "Bacterial small subunit ribosomal RNA", at positions 568 to 774 of the family's 1533-position model. The record is from RNAcentral.
UGUGUAGGCGGUCUGCCAAGUCAGGGGUGAAAUCCUUCGGCUCAACCGGAGAACUGCCCCUGAUACUGGCGGGCUAGAGGGAGACAGAGGCAGCCGGAACUACCGGUGGAGCGGUGAAAUGCGUUGAUAUCGGUAGGAACGCCAGAGGCGAAAGCGGGCUGCUGGAUCUCUUCUGACGCUGAGACACGAAAGCUAGGGAGCGAACG